This 920-nucleotide long non-coding RNA is filed under the name Elaeis guineensis (African oil palm). RNAcentral describes it as "long non-coding RNA (EGUI_LNC013413)". The record is from RNAcentral. Lineage: Eukaryota; Viridiplantae; Streptophyta; Magnoliopsida; Arecales; Arecaceae.
GUAUUAUACUGUGCGCCACAAAAUUUUAGGUUGCUUGGAAUUGUCAUUACAAAUGGCGUGUGUUUUUCGGGGAUCAACUAGAUUAGGAAUGAAAAGGGUGGGGUUCCUGUUUUUCACAUAACCAUUUCAAAGUAAAUGAACAAUUACGCUUUCUAAAAGGUUCAAAAAAGCAUGGAGACAAUGUUUUCAUGAAGAUUAUAUCUGGUUUCUGUUCUUUAAUUUUUCAUAAAACCAGAGAACCAACAAAUCUGAUAAACUUCAGUUAUUCUUUUUUUUUUGAAUUAACAAGUGCUUAAUUUUAACGAAUGCAUGCAUGCUCAUUUUGUCCUCAGAUUGGUGACCCACAAACUUAUACAGGAACAAUAUUUGGAGAAUACAGACUUUUAAAUUGUCUUUCUCUCAAUCUACUGGCGACAUUUUUGGAGCUCUAACAAAGCAUGAUGCAAUUACUAUUUCUACUAUGUUUAGUUUUAACUUUUAUACGAGAACCAAUAAUUUAUGUCUACUUUGUAAUUUUGAGUUUUAUGAUGCCAUUCUAUAACUGGUUAUUUGUUACUUCUAGUGGUCCUUAUUUUUAUAUCACCCAGAAAGAUUAUUAUAAUUGAUAUAAUACCUGUUCUUUAAAGAUGAGGUAUUAGUGCCAUUAUUGCUUUCAUAUCUAGGGCGAUUAAUUUAUGUCUACUUUGUAAUUUUGAGUUUUAUGAUGCCAUUCUAUAACUGGUUAUUUGUUACUUCCAGUGGUCCUUAUUUUUAUAUCACCCAGAAAGAUUAUUAUAAUUGAUAUAAUACCUGUUCUUUAAAGAUGAGGUAUUAGUGCCAUUAUUGCUUUCAUAUCUAGGGCGAUUACACUCACGUGUGAAACCUCUUUACAUUUGGUCAACAGUGAGACAGUCAAGUUUGGUCAUGUCACCUUUUUCUGG